Molecule: unclassified non-coding RNA, 430 nt
Filed under: soil metagenome
Description: partial contains 5.8S ribosomal RNA, internal transcribed spacer 2, and large subunit ribosomal RNA
Rfam family: 5.8S ribosomal RNA (bases 1-120)
Source: RNAcentral
GAUGAAGAACGUAGCGAAAUGCGAUACGUAAUGUGAAUUGCAGAAUUCAGUGAAUCAUCGAAUCUUUGAACGCAUAUUGCGCUCUCUGGUAUUCCGGAGAGCAUGCUUGUUUGAGUAUCAGUAAACACCUCAACUCCCUUUUCUUUUUUGAAAUUGGAGCUGGACUUGAGUGAUCCCAACGCUUUCUUCCAAGAAAGUGGCGGGUUGCUUGAAAUGCAGGUGCAGCUGAACUUUUCUCUGAGCUAUAAGCAUAUCUAUUUAGUCUGCCUAAAAAACAGAUUAUUACCUUUGCUGCAGCUAACAUAAAGGAGACUAGUUCUUGUGCUGACUGAUGCAGGAUUCACAGAGACAGCUUCGGCUGAAUUUGUAAACUCGAUCUCAAAUCAAGUAAGACUACCCGCUGAACUUAAGCAUAUCAAUAAGCGGAGGA